CCUACGGUGAGCUGCAGUGGGGAAUAUUGGACAAUGGGGGGAACCCUGAUCCAGCGACGCCGCGUGAGUGAAGAAGUAUUUCGGUAUGUAAAGCUCUAUCAGCAGGGAAGAAAAUGACGGUACCUGACUAAGAAGCCCCGGCUAACUACGUGCCAGCAGCCGCGGUAAUACGUAGGGGGCAAGCGUUAUCCGGAUUUACUGGGUGUAAAGGGCGUGUAGCCGGGUUGACAAGUCAGAUGUGAAAUCCUGCGGCUUAACCGCAGAACUGCAUGUGAAACUGUUGAUCUUGAGUACUGGAGAGGCAGACGGAAUUCCUAGUGUAGCGGUGAAAUGCGUAGAUAUUAGGAGGAACACCAGUGGCGAAGGCGGUCUGCUGGACAGCAACUGACGGUGAGGCGCGAAAGCGUGGGGAGCAAACAGGAUUAGAUACCCCUGUAGUC
Molecule: ribosomal RNA, 440 nt
Filed under: uncultured bacterium
Lineage: Bacteria
Description: partial 16S ribosomal RNA
Rfam family: Bacterial small subunit ribosomal RNA
Source: RNAcentral